RNAcentral lists this transfer RNA (87 nucleotides) under Burkholderia ubonensis. Its description in RNAcentral is "tRNA-Gly". It matches the Rfam family "tRNA". Rfam says of the family: Transfer RNA (tRNA) molecules are approximately 80 nucleotides in length. Their secondary structure includes four short double-helical elements and three loops (D, anti-codon, and T loops). Lineage: Bacteria; Pseudomonadati; Pseudomonadota; Betaproteobacteria; Burkholderiales; Burkholderiaceae. The record is from RNAcentral.
GCGGGUGUAGCUCAGUUGGUCAGAGCGCUUGCCUUCCAAGCAAGAGGCGAAUAGUUCACGCAGGUUCGAAUCCUGUCACCCGCUCCA